UGGUGGCGAGUGGCGGACGGGUGAGUAACGUAUCGGAACGUACCCAGUCGUGGGGGAUAACUAUCCGAAAGGAUAGCUAAUACCGCAUACGACCUGAGGGUGAAAGCGGGGGAUCGCAAGACCUCGCGCGAUUGGAGCGGCCGAUAUCUGAUUAGGUAGUUGGUAGGGUAAAGGCCUACCAAGCCGACGAUCAGUAGCUGGUCUGAGAGGACGAUCAGCCACACUGGAACUGAGACACGGUCCAGACUCC
RNAcentral lists this ribosomal RNA (250 nucleotides) under uncultured bacterium. Its description in RNAcentral is "partial 16S ribosomal RNA". It matches the Rfam family "Bacterial small subunit ribosomal RNA", at positions 86 to 339 of the family's 1533-position model. The record is from RNAcentral.